GACGAACGCUGGCGGCGUGCUUAACACAUGCAAGUCGAGCGGUAAGGCCCCUUCGGGGGUACACGAGCGGCGAACGGGUGAGUAACACGUGGGUGACCUGCCCUCAGCUCUGGGAUAAGCCUGGGAAACGUGGUACUAAUACCGGAUAUGACUCCAUGACGCAUGUCGUGGGGUGGAAAGCCUUGUGCGGCUGGGGAGUGGGCCC
Molecule: ribosomal RNA, 205 nt
Filed under: uncultured bacterium
Lineage: Bacteria
Description: partial 16S ribosomal RNA
Rfam family: Bacterial small subunit ribosomal RNA
Source: RNAcentral